GGUUGACCUCGGAUCAGGUAGGGAUACCCGCUGAACUUAAGCAUAUCAAUAAGCGGAGGAAAAGAAACCAACUGGGAUUGCCUCAGUAACGGCGAGUGAAGCGGCAACAGCUCAAAUUUGAAAUCUGGCUCCUCUGGGGGUCCGAGUUGUAAUUUGUAGAGGAUGCUUCGGGCAAGGCGGUGGUCUAAUUUGCUUGGAACAGCGAGUCAGAGAGGGUGAGAAUCCCGUCUAGGAUCGCCAGCCGCGUCCAUGUGAAGCUCCUUCGACGAGUCGAGUUGUUUGGGAAUGCAGCUCUAAAUGGGUGGUAAAUUUCAUCUAAAGCUAAAUAUUGGCCAGAGACCGAUAGCGCACAAGUAGAGUGAUCGAAAGAUGAAAAGCACUUUGAAAAGAGAGUUAAACAGUAUGUGAAAUUGUUGAAAGGGAAGCGCUUGUAACCAGACUUGCGUGUAACGGUUCCCCCGGCCUUCUGGCCGGGUUACUCCGUUAUCUCCAGGCCAGCAUCGGUUUGGGUGGUCGGUAAAAGACCCCGGGAAUGUAUCUACCUUCGGGUCGACUUAUAGCCCGGGGUGUAAUGCGGCCCAUCCAGACCGAGGAACGCGCUUCGGCUCGGAUGCUGGCGUAAUGGUUGUAAGCGGCCCGUCUUGAAACACGGACCAAGGAGUCUAACAUCUAUGCGAGUGUUUGGGUGUCAAACCCCUACGCGUAAUGAAAGUGAACGGAGGUAAGAACCCCGCAAGGGGCGCAUUAUCGACCGAUCCUGAUGUCUUCGGAUGGAUUUGAGUAAGAGCAUAGCUGUUGGGACCCGAAAGAUGGUGAACUAUGCCUGAAUAGGGUGAAGCCAGAGGAAACUCUGGUGGAGGCUCGCAGCGGUUCUGACGUGCAAAUCGAUCGUCAAAUUUGGGCAUAGGGGCGAAAGACUAAUCGAACCAUUGUUGAGCGGGGCUAAACGCGGCUACCGGGUGGUUCCACACAAAGUCCUUUGGGGCUACAUCGUCCUUCUGGCGGGGAUUCAAACCCGCAGC
RNAcentral lists this ribosomal RNA (1022 nucleotides) under Verrucaria hydrophila. RNAcentral describes it as "eukaryotic LSU rRNA". It matches the Rfam family "Eukaryotic large subunit ribosomal RNA", at positions 1 to 1448 of the family's 3401-position model. The record is from RNAcentral. Lineage: Eukaryota; Fungi; Ascomycota; Eurotiomycetes; Verrucariales; Verrucariaceae.